RNAcentral lists this ribosomal RNA (164 nucleotides) under Dendrobium victoriae-reginae. Its description in RNAcentral is "5.8S ribosomal RNA". It matches the Rfam family "5.8S ribosomal RNA". From Rfam's summary of the family: 5.8S ribosomal RNA (5.8S rRNA) is a component of the large subunit of the eukaryotic ribosome. It is transcribed by RNA polymerase I as part of the 45S precursor that also contains 18S and 28S rRNA. The record is from RNAcentral. Lineage: Eukaryota; Viridiplantae; Streptophyta; Magnoliopsida; Asparagales; Orchidaceae.
GACAUGACUCUCGGCAAUGGAUAUCUCGGCUCUCGCAUCGAUGAAGAGCGCAGCGAAAUGCGAUAUGUGGUGCGAAUUGCAGAAUCCCGCGAACCAUCGAGUCUUUGAACGCAAGUUGCGCCCGAGGCCUAACAGCCAAGGGCACGCCUGCCUGGGCGUCAAGC